UACGUAGGGUGCGAGCGUUGUCCGAAGUUACUGGGCGUAAAGCGCGCGUAGGCGGUUAUUUAAGUCUGUGGUGAAAGGUUCAGCGCUCAACGCGAACAUUGCCCUGGAUACUGGAUGACUUGAGUCUGGGAGAGGGUAGUGGAAUUCCUGGUGUAGCGGUGAAAUGCGUAGAUAUCAGGAGGAACACCGGUGGCGAAGGCGACUACCUGGCCUAAGACUGACGCUGAGGUGCGAAAGCGUGGGGAGCGAACGGG
RNAcentral lists this ribosomal RNA (254 nucleotides) under uncultured bacterium. RNAcentral describes it as "partial 16S ribosomal RNA". It matches the Rfam family "Bacterial small subunit ribosomal RNA", at positions 524 to 776 of the family's 1533-position model. The record is from RNAcentral.